RNAcentral lists this non-coding RNA (85 nucleotides) under Azotobacter beijerinckii. Lineage: Bacteria; Pseudomonadati; Pseudomonadota; Gammaproteobacteria; Pseudomonadales; Pseudomonadaceae. The record is from RNAcentral.
CGUUAUGGGCGGGCCGUGUGUGGGUGCCUUCGGGCACGCCGGCCCUCGGACCGGUCCGCCAACCCGCACGGUUCCGCUCACCCAU